CCUACGGGAGGCUGCAGUGAGGAAUAUUGGUCAAUGGACGAGAGUCUGAACCAGCCAAGUAGCGUGAAGGAUGACUGCCCUAUGGGUUGUAAACUUCUUUUAUAAAGGAAUAAAACGAGGCACGUGUGCCUUUUUGCAUGUACUUUAUGAAUAAGGAUCGGCUAACUCCGUGCCAGCAGCCGCGGUAAUACGGAGGAUCCGAGCGUUAUCCGGAUUUCUUGGGUUUAAAGGGAGCGUAGAUGGGUUGUUAAGUCAGUUGUGAAAGUUUGCGGAUCAACCGUAAAAUUGCAAUUGAUACUGGCAGUCUUGAGUACAGUUGAGGUAAGCGGAAUUCGUGGUGUAGCGGUGAAAUGCUUAGAUAUCACGAAGAACCCCGAUUGCGAAGGCAGCUUACUAAACUGUGACUGACAUUGAUGCUCGAAAGUGUGGGUAUCAAACAGGAUUAGAUACCCCGGUAGUC
Molecule: ribosomal RNA, 460 nt
Filed under: uncultured bacterium
Lineage: Bacteria
Description: partial 16S ribosomal RNA
Rfam family: Bacterial small subunit ribosomal RNA
Source: RNAcentral